This is a non-coding RNA of Anas platyrhynchos (mallard), 685 nucleotides long. The record is from RefSeq and is a predicted model, not a curated record. NCBI's taxonomy places the organism in Eukaryota, Metazoa, Chordata, Aves, Anseriformes, Anatidae.
GCUGCCGGCCGCCGCUCCCCGCUCCCCGCUCCCCGCUCCCGCCGCAUCCAGAGCGCGGGGCGGGGGCGCGGCGGGAGCUGAGGUGGGGGGGGGGGGACGGGGACGCGGCGGCCUCCGCCCCCUCCGGAUUGCCCCCGCCGGGGGGGUGCCGCGCUAAUUGGGGGCAGCCUCGCCUGCAAGAGGCCAGCGCGGCCCCGCGGCGUCGCCUCACAGCCCCCUGCCCCCCCCUACUCCCCCCCCCCCCCCCCAUAUAGGAUGGGGGCGUCCAACGGUCGGGUAACGGUCGAGUAACGGCCGGCGCCUCAGGGCGCGGCAGCCCCCCACACACACACACACCCACCCCGGAGGCCGCCCCUCUCCGCGCUCGCUUCAGGGACGGGAUCUCUCCUCUCGGAAGCGGCGCCCUGAGGAGGCGAGGAGGAUGCUGCCGCUCGCCGGAGCCGGAGCCGGGCGGAGGGGACCCGACGUUCGAAGCCGCCCCUCCUAAAGACACGCAGGGAGCGAAGGGGCCGCCGGAUCCCACGGGCCGGGUGUCUCUGAAGGUGCGGGGAGCCUGUGUCUGCGAGCCACCCGCAAGGAGCAACAGAUAGCUGACAGAUAGCUGUGAGGUCCCACAGGCAGCCUGGCUGCGGCCGCGGCGGCUUCCGUGGUCUGCAGGCUGGAGGGAACACACCCAGGGAGGCCU